This 364-nucleotide ribosomal RNA is filed under the name uncultured bacterium. Its description in RNAcentral is "bacterial SSU rRNA". It matches the Rfam family "Bacterial small subunit ribosomal RNA", at positions 30 to 405 of the family's 1533-position model. The record is from RNAcentral.
AGCGAACGCUGGCGGCAUGCUUAACACAUGCAAGUCGCACGACCGGGUUUCGGCCUGGGAGUGGCGGACGGGUGAGUAUCGCGUAGGGAUUUGUCGUUGGGGUGGGGGACGAACCUUAGGGAAACGUAGGGGCGUAAUAACCGCAUGACGCCUUUGGGCCAAAGCUCGAGAGGGCGCCUGACGAGGAGCCUGCGUCCGAUUAGGUAGUUGGUUGGGUGAUGGCUGACCAAGCCUGCGACGGUAGCUGGUCUGAGAGGAUGGCCAGCCACACUGGGACGUGAGACACGGCCCAGACUCCUACGGGAGGCAGCAGUGGGGAAUAUUGGACAAUGGGCGCAAGCCUGAUCCAGCAAUGCCGCGUGGA